RNAcentral lists this unclassified non-coding RNA (349 nucleotides) under soil metagenome. Its description in RNAcentral is "partial contains 5.8S ribosomal RNA, internal transcribed spacer 2, and large subunit ribosomal RNA". The stretch from base 1 to 120 matches the Rfam family "5.8S ribosomal RNA", at positions 35 to 154 of the family's 154-position model. The record is from RNAcentral.
GAUGAAGAACGUAGCGAAAUGCGAUAAGUAAUGUGAAUUGCAGAAUUCAGUGAAUCAUCGAAUCUUUGAACGCACAUUGCGCCCGCCAGUAUUCUGGCGGGCAUGCCUGUUCGAGCGUCAUUUCAACCCUCAAGCCCAGCUUGGUGUUGGGGAUCGGCACAGGCGCCCUCGGGCGCCCGCCGUCCCCUAAAUCUAGUGGCGGUCCCGCUGCAGCCUCCUCUGCGUAGUAGUUUUCUCCUCGCAAGGGCAGCUCGGUGGCGACCUCGCCGUAAAACCCCCAACUUCUGAAAGGUUGACCUCGAAUCAGGUAGGAAUACCCGCUGAACUUAAGCAUAUCAAUAAGCGAGGA